GCUCCCUUCAGCAGCACUAAAAUUGGAACGAUACAGAGAAGAUUAGCAUGGACCCCUGUGCAAGGAUGACAUGCAAAUUUGUGAAAUAUUCCAUAUUUUA
RNAcentral lists this small nuclear RNA (100 nucleotides) under Sciurus vulgaris (Eurasian red squirrel). The record is from RNAcentral. Lineage: Eukaryota; Metazoa; Chordata; Mammalia; Rodentia; Sciuridae.